AUGCAUUUAAGCUGUGCAGUGAUAAUUCUACACCUCCCUGGGACUGUGAAGACCCCGCUUCAUGGAAGGGCAGUUUCACCUAGAGGCUGGCUGCUCACUUUACUGACUAAUACACAGUCAGCAGAAUCCAGAGAACUGCAAAAAAACCUAAUAGAAGGAAACAACAGAAGGAAUAGAUCAGUGACGAUGAACCUGCACCGGCAUAGAACAGUGAUUGGGACCUGCUGAUUAUCAAGGAAAAUUUAGGAGAAAGCAAAUAUGC
Long non-coding RNA from Lemur catta (Ring-tailed lemur), 262 nucleotides. RefSeq lists it as uncharacterized. NCBI's taxonomy places the organism in Eukaryota, Metazoa, Chordata, Mammalia, Primates, Lemuridae. The transcript has 3 exons. The record is from RefSeq and is a predicted model, not a curated record.